This is a long non-coding RNA of Chroicocephalus ridibundus (black-headed gull), 884 nucleotides long. RefSeq lists it as uncharacterized. The transcript has 4 exons. The record is from RefSeq and is a predicted model, not a curated record. Lineage: Eukaryota; Metazoa; Chordata; Aves; Charadriiformes; Laridae.
GCGGCACCGUGUCCCCGCCGGUGGAGGAGCGGAGCGGAGCGGAGCCGCCGCAUCCACCCCCUCGGGCCGGCCCCGCCGGCUGCCCCCGCCCUGGUGGGAGGUGGGAAAGGCAGCGGGGUCCGCCCGCAGCCGCGGCGCGCCCCGAAGUGGCUGUGCACGGCGCGUGUGUGUCCCCCCACUCCGCCCCGCUGUCGCCGAUAAAUCCCACUGCCUGGGCGACAGCGCGGCACUCGGCGGCUGCCGCGCUGCGGGGUGGCGGCGGGGCCCUGCCCGCCCCGCGCCUCGGGGCAGCGACCCCCGCCCAGGGGGCAACAGGAGCCGCUGGAACCCAGGUACAAAGCUGAGUGCUGUAGGGAGAGCGUGUGUGAAGAGAAAAGCAAGGCUGCAACAGCCCGCCGAAACGUGCUCAAGGUCAGCCCCUCGCACAGAAGACUGAGGUCACAUUUGGCUCAGAAGAAAUCACGAAGAUCAGCUCCAUGAGUGACAUGACUGGAGCCAUUAGGAGGCUCAUCCAAGAGUAAUCAUUCAUCAAAGGUGCUCAGCCCAGCAGGUGUUUGCCACCAUUCCGCAAUGGAUGAAGCGGGCAGUGACUCCACCAGCGUGAGUAUGCAGGAGAACAUCUUCUCCACAACCAGCACUGCUCCAGCAGAUCGCUAGGUGAGAAGCAAAUCAAAUUGACUUGAAACAUGGAGUACCUUUCACAUUGUCAUUGAGAAGAAGACUUGCCGAACAAUCUCCACGAAACCUCAACACUGUUUUGGAUUGGUAUUUCCUACCAAGUGCACCACGCAGUGUCAAUGUGACAAAAGACAACUAGAAGUAAGGGCUCCAGCUGCUCCUCUAACAUUGCCGGGACAGCCUCCAGAAUAAAUUUCCAGCUCCUA